CCUACGGGAGGCAGCAGUGGGGAAUAUUGGACAAUGGGGGCAACCCUGAUCCAGCCAUGCCGCGUGUGUGAAGAAGGCCCUCGGGUUGUAAAGCACUUUCAGUGAGGAAGAACGCCUGGUGGUUAAUACCCAUCAGGAAAGACAUCACUCACAGAAGAAGCACCGGCUAACUCCGUGCCAGCAGCCGCGGUAAUACGGAGGGUGCGAGCGUUAAUCGGAAUUACUGGGCGUAAAGCGCGCGUAGGUGGCUUGAUAAGCCGGUUGUGAAAGCCCCGGGCUCAACCUGGGAACGGCAUCCGGAACUGUCAAGCUAGAGUGCAGGAGAGGAAGGUAGAAUUCCCGGUGUAGCGGUGAAAUGCGUAGAGAUCGGGAGGAAUACCAGUGGCGAAGGCGGCCUUCUGGACUGACACUGACACUGAGGUGCGAAAGCGUGGGUAGCAAACAGGAUUAGAUACCCUGGUAC
Molecule: ribosomal RNA, 463 nt
Filed under: Vreelandella stevensii
Lineage: Bacteria; Pseudomonadati; Pseudomonadota; Gammaproteobacteria; Oceanospirillales; Halomonadaceae
Description: partial 16S ribosomal RNA
Rfam family: Bacterial small subunit ribosomal RNA
Source: RNAcentral